UACGUAGGUGACAAGCGUUGUCCGGAUUUACUGGGCGUAAAGAGCGUGUAGGCGGCCCGGUAAGUCCGCUGUGAAAGUCGGGGGCUCAACCCUCGAAUGCCGGUGGAUACUGUCGGGCUAGAGUGCGGAAGAGGCGAGUGGAAUUCCUGGUGUAGCGGUGAAAUGCGCAGAUAUCAGGAGGAACACCAAUUGCGAAGGCAGCUCGCUGGGACGUAACUGACGCUGAGACGCGAAAGCGUGGGGAGCAAACAGG
RNAcentral lists this ribosomal RNA (253 nucleotides) under uncultured bacterium. Its description in RNAcentral is "partial 16S ribosomal RNA". It matches the Rfam family "Bacterial small subunit ribosomal RNA", at positions 524 to 776 of the family's 1533-position model. The record is from RNAcentral.